UUUUUUUUGCUUUGGAUCCUGGCCCACAUCAAUGAGCUUGGCAGUUGUGUGAAGUCUGACCCGUCCGUUCAACUUUCAUUGAAUGUCUGUAAAUGCCCUUUGUUGAACACUGAGCACUGAAGGGUUUGUAUAGAUGUAUUUGUUUUGUUCAAAAAGAAAAUAAUAUCCUCAGGGCUGAGUUUUGAAUUCACAAGAUUGCUAAUCAUUGAUCAUAACAGUUCAAAUUUGCAGAAUCCUUGACACAGAUUAUCUCAUUUAAUCCUCUCAAUAAAGCUGGGGGUGAAGGUAUUAAUAUCCCCACAUUAGGAAAGAGAGCCUCGGUGCAGGAAGUUAAGUAAGUUAUUUAAAUUGCUCCAGACUAUAAGUGGACCAACUGGGAUUUGGGUCCAUGUCAAUCAGAAGAGUGCUUUCUUAAUGGCUCUCCUAAAAUACCUGGGAUGAUGUCUCUCUUACCCAGAUAUUCUUUCUUCUGGGGUAACUCUUCAUCUCUCUCUACAAGUAUAUUCUUGGCAAAGGAGGUUACUACAUGUAGCACUAAACAUCCGAUUCCCUACCUUCCCUUCCCUUCCUUUUCUCCCCAGCAGGGACCACAUAAAUUUCACUUAAAAAUGUGGAAAGGGUNUCUUACAAAAUCUAGAUCUAUAAAAUGAAACAGGUGCAACAUAAAAAAGAGUAAUUUUCCAAAAGUUUUUGAUGCCUUGUAAAUGUUAUGAAAAAAGUGUCUGAAAAAUAAAAUUGGUGAUAUAUUGCUAUAUGUGAUCAAUAAAGCACGUGGUCUCCAAUUUUAUGGGACAAGAUGAAUAUGGUUUAGUGAAUAGAGUGUGGGCUUGGAAGUUAAAUAAACUGGAGUUCUAAUCCCAACUCAGGCAUUCAUCAAUGGGGUGGUCUAGAGGAGUUCCUUAAACUCUGAACUUGGUUAUUCAAUCCUGUCAAUUAGGGAAAUUGUAUCUAAUGUUCAAGGCCUGUUUUUAGGAUUGGAAAGUUUUAGACAGAUAACCUUGUAUGUACUUCGCAGAGAGUAAGCCUUCAGAAAUUAGUUAUUACCCACCAGAAUUUAUUCAGAACUCUCUGAGUAGUAGGCACUGUUUGCUGUUAACUAUGUCUUACCCCCAUUACUAGGCUCUUGAUUAGGGUGAAAGAGGAGAGUGAAAAAGCUGGCUUAAAAUUCAACAUUCAA
This 1177-nucleotide long non-coding RNA is filed under the name Capra hircus (goat). RNAcentral describes it as "lncRNA (ENSCHIG00010015239.1)". The record is from RNAcentral. Lineage: Eukaryota; Metazoa; Chordata; Mammalia; Artiodactyla; Bovidae.